RNAcentral lists this ribosomal RNA (453 nucleotides) under uncultured Bacteroides sp. RNAcentral describes it as "partial 16S ribosomal RNA". It matches the Rfam family "Bacterial small subunit ribosomal RNA", at positions 341 to 792 of the family's 1533-position model. Lineage: Bacteria; Pseudomonadati; Bacteroidota; Bacteroidia; Bacteroidales; Bacteroidaceae. The record is from RNAcentral.
ACGGGAGGCAGCAGUGAGGAAUAUUGGUCAAUGGACGUAAGUCUGAACCAGUCAAGUAGCGUGAGGGAUGACGGCCAUAUGGUUGUAAACCUCUUUUGCGAGGGAAUAAAGUGCGUCACGUGUGGUGCAUUGCAUGUACCUUGCGCAUAAGGAUCGGCUAACUCCGUGCCAGCAGCCGCGGUAAUACGGAGGAUCCGAGCGUUAUCCGGAUUUAUUGGGUUUAAAGGGAGCGUAGGCGGGAAGUCAAGUCAGCUGUGAAAUGUAGGCGCUCAACGUCUGCACUGCAGUUGAAACUGGUUUACUUGAGUGCGUAAGAGGCAGGUGGAAUUUGUCGUGUAGCGGUGAAAUGCUUAGAUAUGACGAAGAACUCCGAUUACGAAGGCAGCUUGCUGGGCCGCAACUGACGCUGAAGCUCGAAGGUGCGGGUAGCAAACAGGAUUAGAUACCCUGGUA